GAUAUGGCUCAGGAUGAACGCUAGCUACAGGCUUAACACAUGCAAGUCGAGGGGCAGCAUGGUCUUAGCUUGCUAAGGCUGAUGGCGACCGGCGCACGGGUGAGUAACACGUAUCCAACCUGCCGUCUACUCUUGGCCAGCCUUCUGAAAGGAAGAUUAAUCCAGGAUGGCAUCAUGAGUUCACAUGUCCGCAUGAUUAAAGGUAUUUUCCGGUAGACGAUGGGG
RNAcentral lists this ribosomal RNA (225 nucleotides) under uncultured bacterium. RNAcentral's name for it is "partial 16S ribosomal RNA". It matches the Rfam family "Bacterial small subunit ribosomal RNA", at positions 15 to 230 of the family's 1533-position model. The record is from RNAcentral.